Molecule: ribosomal RNA, 253 nt
Filed under: uncultured bacterium
Lineage: Bacteria
Description: partial 16S ribosomal RNA
Rfam family: Bacterial small subunit ribosomal RNA
Source: RNAcentral
UACGUAGGCAGCGAGCGUUGUUCGGAGUUACUGGGCGUAAAGGGUGUGUAGGCGGUUUUCUAAGUUUGGUGUGAAAUCUCCCGGCUCAACCGGGAGGGUGCGCCGAAAACUGGGAGACUCGAGUGCGGGAUGGGAGAGUAGAAUUCCUGGUGUAGCGGUGAAAUGCGUAGAUAUCAGGAGGAAUACCGGUGGUGUAGACGGCUCUCUGGACCGCAACUGACGCUGAAACACGAAAGCGUGGGUAGCAAACAGG